UACGAAGGGGGGCUAGCGUUGCUCGGAAUCACUGGGCGUAAAGGGUGCGUAGGCGGGUCUUUAAGUCAGGGGUGAAAUCCUGGAGCUCAACUCCAGAACUGCCUUUGAUACUGAGGAUCUUGAGUUCGGGAGAGGUGAGUGGAACUGCGAGUGUAGAGGUGAAAAUUCGUAGAUAUUCGCAAGAACACCAGUGGCGAAGGCGGCUCACUGGCCCGAUACUGACGCUGAGGCACGAAAGCGUGGGGAGCAAACAGGG
This 256-nucleotide ribosomal RNA is filed under the name uncultured bacterium. RNAcentral describes it as "partial 16S ribosomal RNA". It matches the Rfam family "Bacterial small subunit ribosomal RNA", at positions 524 to 777 of the family's 1533-position model. The record is from RNAcentral.